Molecule: ribosomal RNA, 301 nt
Filed under: uncultured bacterium
Lineage: Bacteria
Description: partial 16S ribosomal RNA
Rfam family: Bacterial small subunit ribosomal RNA
Source: RNAcentral
CAGUAGCCACGGGAAAACGGAGGGGGCUAGCGUUGUUCGGAAUUACUGGGCGUAAAGCGCACGUAGGCGGCUUGGUAAGUUAGAGGUGAAAGCCUGGAGCUCAACUCCAGAAUUGCCUUUAAGACUGCCGAGCUAGCAGGUGAGAGAGGUAAGUGGAAUUCCGAGUGUAGAGGUGAGAUUCGUAGAUAUUCGGAAGAACACCAGUGGCGAAGGCGGCUUACUGGCUCAUACUGGACGCUGAGGUGCGAAAGCGUGGGGAGCAAACAGGAUUAGAUACCCCUGUAGUCCCUGUCUCUUAUAC